Molecule: small RNA, 451 nt
Filed under: Pongo abelii (Sumatran orangutan)
Lineage: Eukaryota; Metazoa; Chordata; Mammalia; Primates; Hominidae
Description: processed transcript
Source: RNAcentral
GGUUAUGGAACAUUCUAAAACUUAGACAAGACGAUUGUGAUUGGCUGAAGGGCAUACGCCCUCCUCCAGGGUGACGUGUCUGCCUAUGGAUAUCAGUUGCCAGAGAAACCUGGCUUUACUAUGGCGGUUGGAGGAACGGCAGUGAUCACACGUCGGCUGCUGGGAAGAUCUGGAUUCUCGUUUCAGGUCACCAUCAGAAAAGCUAAGUUUGCUGUAUAGUGAGGAUCAGGAGAUCUGAUCCUGAUUGCAGAAUCUUCCCUGAUUACAGAAUCUUGGGUUGUAUCUCCCACUUCACCCUUCUAGACCAUCCCAGAAGAUCUAUAAGAUUUCAUCUGGGAAAUCACUAGGAGUUCUUGGAAGGGAAAGAAGGAAGAUUGUUGGUUGGAAUAAAAACAGGGUUGAAUGAGUUCCAGAAAGCAGGGUUCUCAACCUCGUGGACAGCAAUCUGCAG